This 275-nucleotide ribosomal RNA is filed under the name uncultured bacterium. Its description in RNAcentral is "partial 16S ribosomal RNA". It matches the Rfam family "Bacterial small subunit ribosomal RNA", at positions 333 to 621 of the family's 1533-position model. The record is from RNAcentral.
ACUUUCCUACGGGGGGCAGCAGUGGGGAAUAUUGGGCAAUGGAGGAAACUCUGACCCAGCAAUGCCGCGUGAAUGAAGAAGGUCUUCGGAUUGUAAAGUUCUUUAGUCAGGGAAGAAGUCAAUGACGGUACCUGAAGAAUAAGCUCCGGCUAACUACGUGCCAGCAGCCGCGGUAAUACGUAGGGAGCAAGCGUUGUUCGGAAUGACUGGGCGUAAAGGGCGCGAAGGCGGUUGUACAAGUUAGAAGAGAAAUACCCAGGGCUUAAAUCGGGUGC